This is a long non-coding RNA of Tupaia belangeri chinensis (Chinese tree shrew), 238 nucleotides long. RefSeq lists it as uncharacterized. The record is from RefSeq and is a predicted model, not a curated record. NCBI's taxonomy places the organism in Eukaryota, Metazoa, Chordata, Mammalia, Scandentia, Tupaiidae. The transcript has 3 exons.
GGAAGACAGAGAGAUAAAGAGAAAGAAAAAUAUCUUCAACAUGGUCUCAUAUUAUGAUCCAAGUCUUCUCAGCCAGCCAGGAUCACAGCAGCCAAGCAGAAGAGAGAAUAUGGAGAGAGCCUGCCUUGCCCAGGAGAGACACCUGUUGCUUCUGUUCAUGCCCCAUUGCCUCUGUUUGUGCUUGAGCUGUGUUUGAUCAGCUCAAUUUCUGUUUAGCAUCAAGGACCUUCUCCACCAG